GGAGAUGUAUCGAAGCGGUCAUAACGAGGUUGUCUCGAAAACAAUUAGGCGAUGAAAGUCGCCCCGUGGGUUCGAAUCCCACCAUCUCCGCCA
This 93-nucleotide transfer RNA is filed under the name Clostridia bacterium. RNAcentral describes it as "tRNA-Ser". It matches the Rfam family "tRNA". From Rfam's summary of the family: Transfer RNA (tRNA) molecules are approximately 80 nucleotides in length. Their secondary structure includes four short double-helical elements and three loops (D, anti-codon, and T loops). The record is from RNAcentral. Lineage: Bacteria; Bacillati; Bacillota; Clostridia.